AAAUGCGAUAAGUAAUGUGAAUUGCAGAAUUCAGUGAAUCAUCGAAUCUUUGAACGCACCUUGCGCUCCUUGGUAUUCCUUGGAGCAUGCCUGUUUGAGUAUCAUGAAAUCUUCAAAGUAAAUCUUUUGUUAACUCAAUUGGUUUCUACUUUGGUAUUGGAGGUCUUUGCAGCUUCACACCUGCUCCUCUUUGUUCAUUAGCUGGAUCUCAGUGUUAUGCUUGGUUCCACUCGGCGUGAUAAGUUAUCUAUCGCUGAGGACACUGUAAAAGGUGGCCAAGAUAAAUGCAGAUGAACCGCUUCUAAUAGUCCAUUGACUUGGACAAUACUUUUAUGAUCUGAUCUCAAAUCAGGUAGGACUACCCGCUGAACUUAAGC
Molecule: unclassified non-coding RNA, 377 nt
Filed under: plant metagenome
Description: partial contains 5.8S ribosomal RNA, internal transcribed spacer 2, and large subunit ribosomal RNA
Rfam family: 5.8S ribosomal RNA (bases 1-104)
Source: RNAcentral